Molecule: long non-coding RNA, 385 nt
Filed under: Salmo salar (Atlantic salmon)
Lineage: Eukaryota; Metazoa; Chordata; Actinopteri; Salmoniformes; Salmonidae
Description: lncRNA (ENSSSAG00000088881.1)
Source: RNAcentral
GAGGUCAGCCCAUCUUCUGAUAGUAGAGGUCAGCCCCUCUCCCGAUAGUAGAGGUCAGCCCCUCUCCCGAUAGUAGAGCUCAGCCCCUCUCCCGAUAGUAGAGGUCAGCUCCUCUCCCGAUAGUAGAGCUCAGCCCCUCUCCCGAUAGUAGAGCUCAAGACCUCUCCCGAUAGUAGAGGUCAGUUCCUCUCCCGAUAGGGGAGGUCAGCCCUUCUCCCAAUAGUAGAGGUCAGCCCCUCUCCCGACAGUAGACGUCCGUUCCUCUCCCGACAGUAGAGGUCAGCUCCUCUCCCAAUAGUAGAGGUCAGCUCCUCUCCCGAUAGUAGAGGUCAGCCCCUCUCCCGAUAGUAGAGGACAGCUCCUCUCCCGAUAGUAGAGGACAGCU